Molecule: unclassified non-coding RNA, 880 nt
Filed under: Hevea brasiliensis (rubber tree)
Lineage: Eukaryota; Viridiplantae; Streptophyta; Magnoliopsida; Malpighiales; Euphorbiaceae
Source: RNAcentral
GCAGUAUUUAAUGUUCUCGUAUAAUGAUCAAGUUCAGGAUAUCACAACACCAAAUCUUUUUAUUAUUAGAAGAAAAAAAAUGCAGAUUACUGCUGCUACUACUCCCCUUGCCCGGUACUCUGUUGACACCAAACACCUCUGUCACAUGCCAUCUACCAUCCUCCCACAACUAAGCAAAGGUAUUCAUCCUGCAACAAGGGCACUGUGAGGUGCUCUCCAACCAUGGCACAACACAAUUCCAGUGAAAUCGGUGAGCACAAGGUAGAUGCACGAGUAUGUCACCAGUCUUCAACUCUUCGAGGCAGACGACACACUCAUCGUCCUGCUCCCCCGACUUCCACCCCAGCUUGCUCCAGCUGAACUUCCUCGACCGCCUGUUGGAGCAGAACACCUCUCUUUGAAUAUUACCGAGAAUCACUGAACCCUCACUACCUCCUCUCUGAUCAACUGGCCUCAUGCUUCCAGUACUAUUAUUCCUCUUGAUCUCUAAACCUCUCUCGGAUCUCAGCCUCUCGUCCAACCUCUCCUUGGCCGCACGAGCGAUGUUACCCAGUGCUCCGCCAUGAAAACCUUUGUUGGGAGGAUUUCUCUGCAUCACGGAUUUUGCAGUAAACUGUGAUUGAUGGGUUGUGGUAGUGUUAUACAACCCAAAUGACGACCGUCGAGACCCGCCGGCUGAAUCGAUGGAUCCGCCAUGAAACCGGCGGCGACGGGCGGUUUCAACCCCGGGGAGCAUACCAGCCAUGGCUGCAGCGGCUCUGGUCCCUAUUUAGGGAAUUUCAACAUGUUGAGAGAGGGGAAGAGAAUUCAUGGAGAGGAUAUGGUUUUAUCUACCAUCCACCAACUGGAAUGGAAGGAAACUUAUGUGAGGAGAGAAAGG